AUGGGUUCUUGUUGUAGUGACUGGCUAGCGAACCUAGUCAUGGUACCGAAGAAGGAUAAAUCCUGGCGCCUGUGUGUCGAUUUCAAAGACCUUAAUAAGGCCUGCCCUAAGGACCCCUUCCCACUACCUCACAUCGACCAGAUUAUUGACGCAACCGCAGGACACAAUUCACUGUGUUUCCUCGACGCAUACUCCGGAUACCAUCAAAUUAAGAUGAAAGAAUCCGACCAGGCCGCAACAGCAUUCAUCACCCCGUACGGGCCCUUCUGUUUCAACACUUUGCCUUUCGGGCUCAAGAACGCCGGUGCCACUUACCAGCGCAUGAUUCAAACAUGCCUGGAAAAGCAAAUCGGCAAGACCGUGGAGGCAUAUGUCGAUGACGUAGUCAUCAAAACCAAACAUGUUGAAUCCUUGGUGAAUGAUUUAUGCCUUAUAUUCGACAACCUCCGAACAUAUGACAUACGGCUCAAUCCGGAAAAGUGCAUUUUCGGCAUCCCUGCCGGAAAACUGCUUGGGUUCAUUGUCUCCAAUAGAGGAAUCGAAGCAAACCCAGCCAAAAUCCGAGCCUUGACACAAGUGGCAACACCAACAGACCUCAAGCAGGUCCAAAAACUAGUCGGGUGCGUGGCAGCUUUGAGCCGUUUUAUCUCCAGACUAGGAGAAAAGGCAUUGCCAUUGUAUCACCGGCUUCGACGCACCGACCACUUCGCGUGGACGGACGCUGCCACAGCCGGAUUGGAAGAAAUAAAAACUUUGUUAGCAAGCAACCCAAUCCUGGCCGCACCAAACGUCGGCGAGGCGAUGUUGCUCUACAUAUCUGCAACCCACCAGGUGGUGAGUGUGGUGCUCGUCGUUGAACGAGAGGAAGAGAGACAUAAAUUCCCACUCCAAAAACUAGUAUACUAUGCAUCGACGGUCCUCACACCAUGCAAAUCCCGAUACCCGCAUUAUCAAAAGAUAGCCUAUGCGGUCUUUAUGGCAUCCCGCAAGCUGCGGCACUACUUUAAGAGUGCUCAAUCACGGUGGCUUCCGAAGUACCACUCAAUGAUAUUAUAA
RNAcentral lists this ribosomal RNA (1056 nucleotides) under Triticum aestivum (bread wheat). RNAcentral's name for it is "partial small subunit ribosomal RNA". Lineage: Eukaryota; Viridiplantae; Streptophyta; Magnoliopsida; Poales; Poaceae. The record is from RNAcentral.